CCAUCUGGACAGAUCAGAGUAAAUCUGAAAUGAGUUUCCAGGUCUGGAUUUUAGAAAGAUGAAAGGGGACUAAAAUAAAGGUUUCUGUGGCGAACUCUGAGGAGGAAUUCAAGAACACCACAGUUGAAGAAUUGAAAAGAAAACUCUUUUCUGCAGACAGCAGAUAUAAAGUCUGUGAGCUUUACUGCAAUGGUGAGCGUCUGUUUCAUGAUCGGACACUUGGCUCUCAUGGCAUUAAACACAGUGAUGUUAUUAUGAUUGCUCCACCGAUGCUUCCACAACGACAGCAUUUGUUUUCGCCCGAGCAGUAAUUGUGGAAAUGUGAACACACAUAUUUAUAUCUUUAAUUAUCAUUCCUUCCAGCAUUUAAAGGUACAGAAAGACAGAUUUAUGGCAACACAUCUCAUUCAGCUCCAGACACAUCUCCUCUUGUUCUGUUUCACAGAAAGUCUCUCAUCUAAAGAUGAACGUGAAGGUGAAUUCAUAUCCAGGACAGAAUCUAUGGAGAAAUUAACUCUCAAUAUGUAAAUGAUUCGACUCACACAGCAUGCUGAUGUAUUUAUGAGUUCAGUGCAUCAUUAAUCAAACUUCUUCACAUGAUCCACAGAGAAUUAUAAAUACAUUCAGAUAAAGUGUCAUAUCAGUCUCAUUGACUUCAUUCAACUCAAUAUUAAACAGUGUAUGAUGGAGUGUGUCUUUUCAUGUGUUUCAUGUGCAAAUAUUGUACAACUCAUUUAGUUUAUUAAUGCAUUUGAACAUUAAUAUUUUGUGAAAUAUGUGAUUUCACUAAUCUCAGAAGCUCAAAAGUAGAGAAUACAGGAAUAAGAUAUGAUAAAUAUAAAUAUGAAAAUAUUUUUAAUGCCAAGAUUGUAUAAAUUGUAUUACUGUAUGUAGCUAUAAUAUUAUUCUUCCAAUUAUUAGAUUUUUCUUCAAAACAAGGCAACAGAUUAAAAAUAAGCACACCACUGCCACAGUAUUUUCUAACUUAUUAGUUUUAUAUUACAUUGUUCUUUGCCAGUUCAUUGUAAUUGUUUGUGAAAUGUAUGAUUUCUGAGUGAAAUUUGAUCAGUGAGUCCAAAAUGAACAACUCUCUCGUACCAACAGAUUAAUGUUGAGCUAAAUGAUCAUCAGUGAGCUGAAUUACUCAGGUUCUACUGGAGAUCCAU
Molecule: long non-coding RNA, 1166 nt
Organism: Carassius auratus (goldfish)
Lineage: Eukaryota; Metazoa; Chordata; Actinopteri; Cypriniformes; Cyprinidae
Exons: 3
Source: RefSeq, a predicted model, not a curated record